AUUGAACGCUGGCGGCAGGCCUAACACAUGCAAGUCGAGCGGCAGCGGGAAAGUAGCUUGCUACUUUUGCCGGCGAGCGGCGGACGGGUGAGUAAUGCCUGGGAAAUUGCCCAGUCGAGGGGGAUAACAGUUGGAAACGACUGCUAAUACCGCAUACGCCCUACGGGGGAAAGCAGGGGACCUUCGGGCCUUGCGCGAUUGGAUAUGCCCAGGUGGGAUUAGCUAGUUGGUGAGGUAAUGGCUCACCAAGGCGACGAUCCCUAGCUGGUCUGAGAGGAUGAUCAGCCACACUGGAACUGAGACACGGUCCAGACUCCUACGGGAGGCAGCAGUGGGGAAUAUUGCACAAUGGGGGAGACCCUGAUGCAGCCAUGCCGCGUGUGUGAAGAAGGCCUUCGGGUUGUAAAGCACUUUCAGCGAGGAGGAAAGGUUGAUGCCUAAUACGUAUCAACUGUGACGUUACUCGCAGAAGAAGCACCGGCUAACUCCGUGCCAGCAGCCGCGGUAA
RNAcentral lists this ribosomal RNA (508 nucleotides) under uncultured bacterium. RNAcentral's name for it is "partial 16S ribosomal RNA". It matches the Rfam family "Bacterial small subunit ribosomal RNA", at positions 30 to 523 of the family's 1533-position model. The record is from RNAcentral.